UGGGGAAUUUUGGACAAUGGGCGAAAGUCUGACGGAGCAACGCCGCGUGAGUGAAGAAGGUUUUCGGAUCGUAAAACUCUGUCUUUUGGGGCGAACGUGAGUAUGGUGAACAAUCAUAGUCAGUGACGGUACCAAAGGAGGAAGCCACGGCUAACUACGUGCCAGCAGCCGCGGUAAUACGUAGGUGGCAAGCGUUGUCCGGAAUUAUUGGGCGUAAAGAGCGCGUAGGCGGGAUAGUCAGUCUGUUGUAAAAGUGCGGGGCUCAACCCCGUGAUCGCAAUGGAAACAGCUAUUCUUGAGUGCAGGAGAGGAAAGUGGAAUUCCCAGUGUAGCGGUGAAAUGCGUAGAUAUUGGGAGGAACACCAGUGGCGAAGGCGACUUUCUGGACUGUGUCUGACGCUGAGGCGCGAAAGCCAGGGGAGCGAACGGGAUUAGAUACCCCGGUAGUCCUGGCCGUAAACGAUGGGUACUAGGUGUGGGAGGUAUCGACCCCCUUUCCGUGCCGGAGUUAACGCAAUAAGUACCCCCGCCUGGGGAGUACGGUCGCAAGACUGAAAC
RNAcentral lists this ribosomal RNA (558 nucleotides) under uncultured bacterium. RNAcentral's name for it is "partial 16S ribosomal RNA". It matches the Rfam family "Bacterial small subunit ribosomal RNA", at positions 355 to 900 of the family's 1533-position model. The record is from RNAcentral.